AGUGGUUAAAGUGUCUAUAUGUCUAUAAGUGAUAAUCUGAAAAAGUUAUCACCAGAAGAACUUUCAAACGUUUUGUAUGUCAAAAACACUUUGAAAAGAGGUUUAUUACGCCGAAAUCACGUCUCAUAGGCAGUGCAUAUCCAUCUUUGUUUACCGAAGACGAGAUUUCCUCUGGAAUACCAUCACAGGACAAUGCCGAAAAUAUGGAUAUUGAUAUGGAGCAUAGUUACUCGCGUAAAAGACACUUUGACCACACGUACUUUCAAAGGGAACCACUAAAAGCUCACUAUGCAGAUGGCAGACCAGUCAGUAACACUUUACAAAACACUGCAGACACUGUUU
Molecule: long non-coding RNA, 342 nt
Organism: Hyposmocoma kahamanoa
Lineage: Eukaryota; Metazoa; Arthropoda; Insecta; Lepidoptera; Cosmopterigidae
Exons: 3
Source: RefSeq, a predicted model, not a curated record